AUGCAACAACUGAUCCUUAAAGAGGCCCAUGAAUCCCCUCUCACGAUUCAUCCCGGUAGUACAAAGAUGUAUCAGGACCUACGCCAGAGGUUCUGGUGGACUAGGAUGAAGAGAGAAAUCGCUCAGUAUAUUGCCAACUGUGGCGUUUGUCGUCGCGUUAAGGCAGAGCAUCAAAGACCUACUGGCACCCUUCAACCUUUAGCUAUUCCCGAGUGGAAAUGGGACAAAGUUGGUAUGGACUUCAUCACCGGCUUUCCCAGGACCAAGAAAGGAAAUAAUGCUAUCUUCAUAGUCAUUGAUCGUCUUUCCAAAGUGGCUCACUUCCUACCUAUUUGA
Molecule: ribosomal RNA, 336 nt
Filed under: Triticum aestivum (bread wheat)
Lineage: Eukaryota; Viridiplantae; Streptophyta; Magnoliopsida; Poales; Poaceae
Description: partial small subunit ribosomal RNA
Source: RNAcentral